Homo sapiens (human) is the source of this 20372-nucleotide RNA transcript. It is a transcript of the gene named leucine rich repeat and fibronectin type III domain containing 5, with no coding region annotated. NCBI's taxonomy places the organism in Eukaryota, Metazoa, Chordata, Mammalia, Primates, Hominidae. The transcript has 6 exons. The record is from RefSeq and is marked reviewed.
CUCCUCAGAAAAUGAUAUUUUCUUUUUUAUUGCAUUGUCAGGCUGCAAAUUUUCAGAACUUUUAUGUUCUGCUUCCCCUGUAAAACUGACUGCCUUUAACAGCACACAAGUCACCUCUUCAGUGCUUUGCUGCUUAGAAAUUUCUUCUGCCAGAUACCCUAAAUAAUCUCUAUCAAGUUCAAAAUUCACAGACCUCUAGGGCAGGGGCAAAAUGCUGCCAGUCUCUUUGCUAAAACAUAGCAAGAGUCACCCUUAUUCCAGUUCCCAACAAGAUCCUCAUCUCCAUCUGAGACCACCUCAGCCUGGACUUUACUGUCCAUAUCCCUAUCAGCAUUUUGGGCAAAGCCAUUCAACAAGUCUCUAGGAAGUGCGAAACUUUUCCACAUUUUCCUGUCUUCUGAGCCAUCCAAAAUGCUCCAACCUCUGUCUGUUACCCAGUUCCAAAGUUGCUUCCACAUGUUCAGGUAUCUUUUCAGCAGCACCCCACUCUACUGGUGCUAAUACACUGUUAAAUUAGCAAAUAAAUUUCACCAUGCAUUUUGAAGGGGAUAUUCAAACCAUAGCACUCUGGUUUUGUUUGAUUUUCUUUCUGUCUUCUCUCCUUCAAGUCAGAGCCCACCAUGGAAUCCUUGUUCUGAUGGAUUUACUUUUCUAUGCUCUAUUUUCUAAUAGAGUCUUUCAACCUUUGUUUUUCGUCAAACCAAUGUAUUUUCUAAAUCGUGUCCUCCUUUACUGCUAUAAAAACCACACAGGCUCAUGAUAGCAAUGGUCAUUUUAAAAUUUCUUUUAACGAAUCUAAGCUUAUAGGUUAGCAUUUUAAGUUGUCCAUGUUUAUAAAUAAAAAAGAAUGUAAAUGGUGAAGAUUCUACCCAGAAGUUAUGGACGUCGUGGUUGCCCUCCCAACUCCACACUCAACCUCUAUUACAUCCCAUUUAAUUGUCUUAGGCAAAACAUGUUUGAUCUUUCAGUCUUGCAGGAAUGGCUUAGAGUAGGCUUGGAUGGAUCAAUGCAUAUUGAAGAUAGACUUACUGAACAUAUUGAGGAAAGAAUAUUUCUGUGUUUAAAUGAAAGCUAUGAAAGCUAAUUUUUUCUAUGUCUUGCUAGAUGUAAACACCAAAACACGUAGUUUUAAAUUGCCACCUACAUGGUGAAGCACCAGCCUUAGAGUAAAAUUGACCCUGUGCACUUGAGGAGGGUUACGAAACUUGGAUCCAUGAUGAAAUUCCUGAGUCUCUCUGAUCUUUGCUGAAGCCCAUUCUCACCACAGCUUCCACUGUUGUUGACCAAUAGUUUCUCUUAUUGUUUUAAACCAGCUAAAGUUGGGUAUUCUGUAACUUAUGGUCAGACCCAUAUUAAGGGUUACACUAGUUUUUAUCAUUGAGUGUCUACACUGUGUUAAAUCCUGAGGCUGACAUUUUACAUACUGUAUAACUCUAGUGAACAUUGCUAAAGGUAAAUUCUCUCAAUCUCAGCAGUCCUACAAAUUUCCCCAAAAAGGGAAGUCUUUUUCCUGGUGUCUUCAGUCUCAAACCUCUUAUUUAUUUUAGAAAAGGGUGGUAGGCCAAAAGUUACUAGACAGGUUUUAGACCAUGUAUAUUAUAAAUCCUACACCCAUGGGCUGGCUCUUCACUAUGGAAUAUAAGUAUGCUUCUCAUUUUUUGUGUUGUUCUUAGCUUAGGUGAAGCUAAGAACCUAUGGAGACUUUUUGUCUCCAAAACCAAGACAGAAAGUGUCCUAGCAUCUUGUUUUACAUAGAUAAAAUGUAGCUACAUUGUAAUGCAUGUAGUGGAAAAAUAACUGGACUCUAUUAAAAUAAUUGGCUAUGGUCUUGGCAUCUUCUCUUAUUAACUAAGUGACCUUGGAGAAGUUACUUGACAUCUCUAAGCCUUAGGUUCCUCAUCUGUCAAAAGGAAAUAUCAUAUCUAUUUGUAAUGCCUGACAAAUAGAUUCACAAUAAUAUGAUUGUUGAAUGUAAUUGUAGAAUAUGCACUUCUCCGUCUUGCAAUUUAAAAUAUCACCAGUACAAGUGAUAACUGAGCUUAUUGAAAUUAGCCAACUAUACCAUUAAGUGUCAUAUUAAGUACCUGUUCUUUGAUUUGUUUGACAUGGAUUAAAAAGGGCAGAGAAAUAUCUCUUUAGCUACUAACAGGCAGAAAUUCUAGUUAUUAUAACCAUUUUAAGCCUAUAUUUUACAUGUACUUACCUAUUGUUCAUGUUUUUAAAGAUAAGAUUCUUCACUUUUAGAAUUUACAUAUUUUGAAUUCGUUUCUCAUGCCACCUGCAUAUGGGAAAGCUCUCCGUGUUAGAUGAGGUAGACAGCAUAGUCAGUUCCCUCAAAUACAUCUCACGUCUUCCUGACUGCCUGUUUAUUUAGGCAAUUGGCCAAAACUCCACAUCUCAGCCCUGAUUCAUCUACGCUAAAUCUAAGCUAAAUCUCACCUGCCUUAUUAGCCAUUGGCUCAGAAACUCAGCUUUAAACACUUUAGUGAUUGACAUUAAACUGGUGAUAGGUACUGCUUUAUAGGUACCUAUGUAUGGGGCAUUAACAGGGAUGGAAGUUUAUUUUUCAUAGUUAGAAAGAGGCAUUUGCCACCUCUCUUGCAGCAAAUAGGAAUGAGGAAGCCAAUGCUAGCUUCCUCUUGUGACUGUAAGACAGGAAGCCAUUGAACAACCACAGAAGGAGGCAGCAUUAAGAGGAAGCUGAACACUCUGGAUUACAGAGUACCAGAAAAGAAAAAUCUGGGGUAAUUCAUCACUUUUGUGAACUGUCCUUUCUCUGGAAUCCCAGAAUUGUCAGUCAUUAGAAUCUUUGUCUUUAAUUAUCAUGCAAAACACGAAAAGAGACCUCAUAUAAAGGAAUGUGUUCAUUAUUUUACUCUCAUCCUGGCUGUGGGUACUCAAAUCAUUGAAAAGGGGCUUAUAUGUCUAUUUAUGAAAUAUGAUGUCUAUUUGUUCCAUUUAGGCUUUCCAUUUUAGCAAGAGUAGUAGAUUUUAAGUAAGUGGUUUAUUAUUUUUAGACUGAUAACAUUUUAGAUAUGUGAUAUAUUUUAAAUAUAAAAAUGAUGACUACUGCAUCCUUUUAUAUUCAUAUUGUGUGGUAUUUUAAUAUAUGUUAUACAUAUGUAUAUUUUAAGAAAUUGUUGUUGAAAUUAUCCUAUUGUAAUAGUUAUUAUUGCAAGUCACCCACAUAGCAACCUUUAUUUCUUACUACUGUUUUUACUAUGCCAACACUUAACACACUUAGUAAUCUCAUAAGCUUCAGAUUACCUCUAAUGCAACUUCACUGCAUUCUGUCUAAUCACUUUCUUGUUUCUGACAUAGAUAAAUAUUUCUCAAAUCAUUUUACUCUUUCCAUCUUUUAAGAUUUUGAUAUAUACUUCAAAAUUUUGAUAGAUUUUGAGAUGUGUGUGUAUAUAUAUGUAUGUGUGUGUGUAUAUAUAUAUAUAUCUGAACUCACUCUCCAUAUAUAUAUAUAUUUCCCUUUGGAUAUAUACCCAGUUAUGCGAUUGCUAUGUUAGAAAAUUAAUUACUUUGAGACCUUUCUAACUUUUUGAUGUAGGUGUUUAGAGCUAUAAACUUUCCUCAUAUAUGUAUAUCUGAACUAUCUCUCCAUAUAGAGAGGUAUAGAUAUUUUUCUCUGUAUGUACUGAUUUACUUAAUAAUUUUAACUUUCAUUUUAGAUUCAAGGGGUACAUGUGCAGGUUUGUCAUAUGAGUAUAUCGUGUGUUGCUGAGGUUUGGGAUAUGAAUGAUCCUGUCAAGCAGCUAGUGAGUAUUGUACUCAAUCAUUAGUUUUUCCCUCAUCCAUCCCUUUCAUUCUAGUAGUCCCCCGUGUCUAUUAUUGCCAACUUAAUAUCCAUGAGUACCUAAUGUUUAGCUCCCAAUUGCAAGUAGAACAUGUAAUUUACUUAGGAUAAUGGUAUCUAGCUCCAUUCAUGUUGCCACAAAAGACAUGAUUUCAUAUUUAUGGCUGCAUAGUAUUCCAUGAUGUAUAUGUACCACAUUUUCUUUAUCCAAUCCACUGUUGAUGAGCACCUAGGUUGAUUCCAUGUCUUUGCUAUUGUUAGUAGAACAGCAAUGAACAUAAGAGUAAAUGUGUCUUUUCAGCAGAAUGAUGUAUUUCCCUUUGGAUAUAUACCCAGUAAUGCGAUUGCUAGGUUAGAAAAUUAAUUUGAGAUCUUCCUAACUUUUUGAUAUAGGUGUUUAGGGUUAUAAACUUUCCUCUUAACACUGCUUUCACUGUAUCUCCUAUAUUUUGGUUUGUUGUGUCUCUGUUUACAUAUAUUUCAAAUAAAUAUUUGUUUUCUGCCUUAAUUUCAUUGUUUACUCAGAAGUUAUUCAGGAGCAAGUUGUUUAAUUUCCAUGUGCUUGUGUGGUUUGGGGAAACUAUUUUAUAUUGAUAUAUAUUUUUAUUCCACUAUGGUCUGAUAAUGUGGUUGGUGUCAUUUUGAUUUUUUUUAAAUUUAUUGAGACUUGCUUUAUGGCCAAACAUAAUGUUGAUCUUGGAGAAUGUUUUGUGUGUAGAUGAGAAGGAUGUAUAUUCUCUUGUUGAUAAGUGGAGUGUCCUAUAGAUGUCUGUUAGAUACAAUUGGUCAGUGUUGUAUUCAAGUCCAGAAUUCCUUUGUUAGUUUUCAGCAUCAAUGGUCUAUCUAAUGUUGUCAGUAGGGUGUUGAAUUCUCCUACUAUCAUUCUGUGGCUCUGUAAGUCUUUUCAUAGGUCUAGAAGUAGUUGUUUUAUUAACCUGGGUGCUCCAGUGGUGGGUGCAUAUAUAUUUAGAAUAGUUAAGUACUCUUGUUGAUUUCAACUGUUUGUCAUUAUGUAAUGUUCUUCUUUGGCUUUAUUAAAUCAUUGUUUAAAGUUUAUUUUAUCUGAUCUAAGAAUAGCAACUCCUUUUUUUUCCAUUUGAGUGACAGAUCUUUCUCCAACCCUUUACUUUGAACCUAUGGUUGUCAUUGUGUGUGAGAUGGGUUUCUUAAAGACAGCAGAUGGAUGAAUCUUGCUUUUUAAUCCGACUUGCAAUUCUGUGCCUGUUAAAUGGGGCAUUUAGAUCAUUCACAUUCAAGGUUAAUAUUGAUAUGUGAGGUUUAAUCUUGUUGUGAAGUUGCUAGCUUGUUGCUUUGUAGUUUCUAUUGUGUCGUUGCCUUAUAGGCUCUGUGGACUAUGUACUUAAGUGUGUUUUUGUGGUAGCAGGUAUCAUGCUUUCAUUUCCAUGUUUAGAACUCCCUUAAGAAUCUUCUUUAAGGCUGAUAUAGUGAUAAUGAAUUUCCUUAGUGCUUGCUUGACUAGAAAAAAAAUGUAUCUCCUUUGUUAUGAAGCUUAAAUGGUGGUAUAUGAUAUUCUGGGUUUUAAUUUCUUUUCUUUAAGAAUGCUGAAAAAAGGCUUCCAGUCUCUUCUGGCUUAUAAGAUUUAUGCAGAAAAGUCUCCCGUUAGCCUGAUGGGAUUCCCUUUGUAUGUAAUCUAGUCUUUUUCUCAAGCUACCUUUUAGAUUUUUUCUUCAGGGUUAGCCAUGGACAGUCUGGGGACUAUGUGUCUUGGUGAUGUAUAUUUUGUACAGUAUCUCACAGUUCUUCUCUGGGUUUCCUGUAUCUGGAUGUUUACCUCUUUAGCAAGAUUAGGGAAAUUUUCUUGAAUUAAUCCCUCAAAUAUGUUUUCCAAGUUGUUUACUUUUUUUGUUGAUUCCAAAAAUGCCGAUAAUUUGUAGGUUUGGUUGCUUUACAUAAUUCUAUAUUUUUUGAAGACUUUGUUCAUUUUUUUAAAUUAUUUUUUCUUAAUUUUUGUCUAAUUUGGCUAGUUUGAAGGACCAGCUCCAAGCUCUGAAAUUCUUUUUUUCUAUUUGAUCCAGUCUAGUAAUAAGUGUUUCAAUUAUAUUUUGAAAUUCCUUAAGUUUUUCAAUUUCAGAAAUUCUGAUUGAUAUCUUUUUAAAAUGUUUAUGUCUUCCUUCAUUUCCUGGAUUGAUAUAGAAGUUUCUCCAUGUUGAUUUUCAACCUUGUCUUGGGUCUCUUUGAGUUUCUUUGCAAUCCAUGCUUUUGAAUUCUUUAUCUGUCAUUUCUGAGUUUCCAUUUUGGUUAGUGACCGUUACCGGAGAGCUAGUGUGAUCCAUUGGUUGUUUCACUGCAUUCAGAUUUUUCAUGGUUCCAGAAUUCUUGUUCUGAUUUCUUAUGUGGAGACACUAGAACUUCUAAUUUUUAUAAUCAUUUUCAUAUGUGAAUAAUUUUUUUUCUUUUUCUUUCUCUCCCUAUAAUAAAAUACGGUGUUUUUUUUUUUUCUUUCUCUUUCCCUUUUCCCUUUGUCCCCACUCCGGGGUGUGAUUGUAAAGAAUGUUGGGAAGAGUCUUUUUGCUUUGCCUCUAUAGCCCUAUGCAUUUCAGCAGAUUUUAUAUUGGGCUGUGCAGUUCAUCCUACAAGUCAGUAAAUGAUUCUUAUGGGUAAGUGCCAGAUGUGGCCAGUGUGGCUGCAUAUAUACUUAAUUCUUGUUUACUGGGAGCUCUCUGUUCCCUCAGACAAUGGGCUGAUUCAUGGAAUACACAAUGUUCUGUGCUCCUAAGGUGGGGGACAAGAUGGGUGGGGCCAGGUUGGGCAGGUCCACCUACAGUUUCCCUGCUGGCAGGCGCAAGCACCAGUGCCAAGGGAGAAUCAAAUGGGUAGCCACCAAGCACCCAGAAGUGUGCCUAGGCUUGAAGCUGGGAAACCUCCUUGGCCCCAAGCUCUCUGCAUAGUAGGUGGGGUAGCCUCAACUCCUAAUCCAGGAGAGUGAGUGCUCCAGAUAGCUGGAAAUUUGCAUGGGUGUGAGGUGUAGAAGACCCCAGUGCAGCACGAUCGCUCCACAAGAAUGGUGGGGUGCCUCAGGCUGCUGAACCAGGCAAGCGGAUACUCCUAAUGCCUGGAAAUCUGCGUGGAUGUGAAUUGGAGAGGGCCUCCCUGUACCAGGAUCUCUGCACAGAAAGGGUGGUGUGGCUCAGGCUGCUGAGCAAGGCAAGCAGGUGCUUAGAAUGCCUGGAAGUCUACUUUGGUGUAAAGUGGAGAGGGCCUCCCUGUACCAGGAUCUCUACACAGAAAGGGUGGUGUGGCUUGGGCUACUGAACCAGGCAAGCAGGUUCUCAGAAUGCCUGGAGCUCUGACCAAGUAUGAGGAAGACAGGGCCUUCUUGCACCAAGAUUUCUGCACAGGAAGGAUGGGACAGCUCAGGCUGCUAGUUCAUGUUAGCGGAUGUCCCAAAUGCCUGGUGAUCUUCCCAGGAGUGGAGCAGAGGGCACCCUGCUGCACCAGGAUCUCUGGGGAGCAGGCUAGGGCAUCCAGCAAUGACACACACAGACUGGUUCCAGGUCCCCAAGCUGACUCUUGCUGCAAAUCUCGUUGCCCAGGAGAAACCAGAGCUGCAGCAGCUCUUCUCCUGUCCCAGGCCUGUGACCAUGGAGAGCACAAUUCUAGCACCUACUACUGAGCCACUUUUCACAGUUCUGAGUGUGAAGGCCCCUACCCUACUCCAGAGUAAGAACUCUAGUCUCUGGCCUGAAACUAAAAUGCCUGUGCCAUCAUAAUGCCAUGUCACCAAAGAAUGACUGACUUUGUAUACACCUGGAUUAAAAAUUAUGUCCUGUUCUUGGUCCUGGGUCUGGGUUAAACACCUGACACUUUUCAUGGUAUCUUUCCCUCUCACUGUCUGUAAGCCUAUCUCCAAGUUAGCUCCAGGUCUGGAGAGAAACAAAAUGUUCUCCCUUGGCCUCGAAUUCCAUGUGAAAAGAUGAGUCACAAAAGGAGGUUCUGUGCCUCUCUCACGUACUGGGGCUACACUCACUUUUAUCAGCCAAAUGCUGUCAUGGGGUCUGUCUACCCAUCUCUUCUCCUUCUUGAGAUCUGGAGUGUCCUUCAUGCUUCCAAUUUUCUUUCUCAAAAUACAACUGACAGAGUUGAUCUGUAUGCACUAUCUUGCUGUUUUCAAGUGGCAUGCUAAAAUCCCCUGGUAUUCCAUCUUGGGAAAAAAAACUAAAAUGACUUUGAAACAUUAGAAAGCACCCCUAAUUUUCACAGUUAGCGUGACUGAAAGAACCAUUUACAUUUAGAGCAUAAGGUUUUUUUCAGACAACAAAUUUACAAACUAAAAACCUUUGAAACACAUUAGGAUAUUUAUAUGUCAUUACCAACUAGCUAAUACCUUUAGCUAAAAUAUAUUCUAAAAUGCUGCACUGAAGACUGAAAUAAUUUGCAUUUGAGAUCUAAAAACUGUUCAUAAGCUCAUAUGAAUGAAUUUAUAUUAAUUAAAACUACAAGGCCAUAUUAAGUUAUGGUUGUUUUAAGUAGCAAAAUGGCCAGUGUAGAUAUUUUUAUCUUUGUGUAAUAUAAUAAGUAUAAAUAUUUUCAAGAAUGUGUUAUGACUAAUAUAUAAUAUAGAAUGUAAUAACCUGGAAAAUUAUUGUAUGUGAUAAUUAUUAAUUUUAAUCUUUAAAUGUUUACAUCUUUAUACCUCAACCCGCCCUUAUGAGAAUCAUGUCAGUUCUUCAUUCAUCUUUGUCCCACAGCCAUAAUAAAAGUCUCAUUUAUUUUUCCUACUGUUUGAACUUUCUAUUUCAAACUUUGGUAAUCGGUUACUACCUUUCAAAAGCCUUGUAGAUUUUGAAGGACUAUAUUCCCUUAUUUUUUGUCCAUUUUGUCAGAUUAUCCUUUUUUUUAACAGAGCUGAAUUGUUACAUUUAUUGGCCCUGUUGAAGUGAAAAACCACUAGGAUAUUUUGCCUUGGGGCUAUGUAUUUUCCCUUUCUUGUUUCUUAGUAAAUAGGAGCCUAGUACUAGAAAUUGAGUUAUUGGCCCAUCGCCUUACAUUAAUUCUCUCAUUUAUGCUUUAUUACUACUUUAACAAGGUGCUUAGAGUUAGGAUUCACAUUUUAGAUGUGGCGAACUUGAGGCUUAAAAAUGUUGCUAUCAUCCUUAGGUGACAUUGCUAUUAAGAGGAGGACUCAGGAUAAGAACGUGGGGCUAGCUGACUUUGGAAUCCUUGCUUUAACUCUUGUGUUUUCUGCUUCACAUUUGCUUGCAUGGCUUCAUCUGCUGUUUGGAGAUAGUUGACAUUUCACUGCAUCUUGAUUCACAAGUUUUAUUUCUGUAUAUCAUGUGGUAGUUAGGUCAGGACUAGAGAGAUAUCUUCUUGUCUCUUCUAACCCUUACUGGCUAUUGUCCACUGCCUGACAGAUGAAAACUAGUCAUCUCUCUGAAAACUAUAAGCCAGAAGUCAUUCUUAAUUCCAUAGUUGUUGUACCAUAUUUUUGGGGCCAGAACAUUUCUUUAAUGUAUACAUCUUGUACCCUCAACCAAAUCUGUUUGUUAGGAGUUGGUAAAUAUUUGCCAGAAUUACUGUAAAUUGCCACAUAUGUGUAAUUAUUACAGAGUGCUUCUGAUCAAAUAAUAUUUCUAAGUCUCCACUGAACCAGAUUGCUUUACUUCAUGAAGUCUUUUAAGAUCUUCCAGGCUCUGUAUGUCUGUUUCAUAAUAUAUAUAGAUUCCUGAAUGCAGAAGACAUGCUCUUUUCUGGAGUAACCAGUAUUUACUUUUAACUCUCCAAUUUUAUAUUUAUUUGCUUUCUCUUAUACUAAGGUAAAAAACAUGUUAGAAAAUGUUACUGUUCAAAGUGUUUACCUCUUAUCUCCUAAACAGGAAAUUAUGAUUCAUUUGGUUUAAAUUUCUCAUCAGUUAUUUAUUUGGUAGAUUUUUCCUAGUUUUUAAACACGAUUGCUCUCAGAAACCUAAGCAUAGAGUAUCAAGUACGAUUGAUGAUCACAACACAUUAAUUGGAUAAAAAGGGGAUCAUGUUACUUAAGUAGCUUGGCUUACAAUUGGCCAUAGAACUGUUCCUAUUUGGAGCUCAAAAGUAUGAUACAUAGUCUUUGUUCCUUCAAUUAUUAUUUUUUCAUUAUCUACGCUCUAAUUUUGCUAUCUGGUAAACCUUGUUGUUCAGAGGGAUCCAGGGAACUUUCAUCAUUGCUUGCCUUUCCUAUAAACUGCGUUCAUUUUUCCUUUCCAAUUUGUGUCAAUUAAAACUUUCCUAAGUUAUAAUUUGGUGGAACUUAAUCUUUGUUAAAUAACAAAUAUACUGUAUGAAAGAUAACUCUUGCUAAACUGCAUCAGAGGAAGUAACACCCAUGCAUCCUUCCAGGAUAUUCUACAAAUAAUAACUAAACUAAAAUAAUGUUUAUAAUGCCUGAAUUUUCAUAGGGGCAUUAUGAUGCUGAAACUGAAGACCAAUGUGCCUCUGAAAACCCAUAUGAACAGUAGUCUGUUCUACUUAGUCAUACCUACUCCAUGAACAAAAUAAUGGUUCAUAUAUUUUUUUCUAUUUUUUUUGACUUUUUAAUGGCCAUCACAGAAAUCUAUCACUCUGAAACAGUUUUCUCUGUUACAGGUGGUUCAAAAGUAUAAAGCACAUUAUUCAUUAUAGUUAAACUGCUGAACUGUGUAAACAUACAUAUUUACUAAAACGACUAAAAUGGGUAAUAUUUUAAUAGAUCAUUGAUAGAUAUUUAGUAAAAACACUAAAUCAACAUAAUGCUCGCCAGAGCAAUAUAGGACUAUAGUAAGAGUGUAGACAAAAGGCUGUAAUUGUAUGUAUAUAUUAACAUUUUAUGUAAAAUUAUUUACUUUCAGUUUCUUUACCAGUUAUUUUUUGUUUCUUACCCUUAAUAUGAAUUUUGUUGCAAAACGAGGUCAUAACAUCUUGGUGUUUUAUGAAACUUGUGCACUAUGCAAUUUAGUCAGUGCUUAUACAUAGGUGAGACACUUCCAUUUGAAGAUGGAAUCACCAUUGACCUUUUACAGUGACAAGACUUUUUACUAAUCAUUUAUUUGAGGGUAAUGACUUCACAUAUGUGUGGAAGAAUAUAAUCUUAAUGUUGGAAACUAAUUUAAAAGUCAUUUGUAUGUUAAAACAGUGAACUAUUUACUGGUAACUAUCUUAAACGACAGUUAGUAUUAAAACCAGUGCUUUAUAAACAUCAAAUCAGCAAUGGAGGUAAAACAGCCAGUCAGCCAGGCCUCAUGGCUCCAAGUUGUAAUCUUAGCACUUUAGCAGGCAGAGGCAGGAGGCUUACUUGAGCCCAGGAGUUUGAGACCAGCCUGGGCAGCAAAGCAAAAAUCCGAUCUCUAUAAAUAAAUAAAUAAAUAAAUAGGAAAGAAAAAAAAUUAGCCAGUCAUGGUGGCACACUUGUGUAGUUCUAGCUACUCAGAAGGCUGAGCAGGGAGGAUUGCUUGAGCCUAAGAGUUUGAGGCUGUAGUCAGGUGUGAUUCUGCCACUUCACUCCAACAUAGACGAAAGAGUGAGACCCUGUCUCUAAAAUAAAAUAAAUAUAUUUUUAAAAUAAAAUAAAUAGUCAACAUCAUCAAGCAGCAUGUAUAAUACAAAAUAAUAAGAGUAAUAAUAAAAACAAAUAAAUAGAAACAAUUUCAACAAAACAUUUGAACUGGAGUCUGAAAUGUAUGGAUCUUAGUUCUGGCAGUACCUUUGGCUGUAUAUGUGACUUUGAGCCAAAAUACUUUUAUUUUCUGCAUUUAUAAAAUAUUCCAACUAUGAAAGUUAGGUGAGUAUUGAGUAGUACAUGAAGGUGGGGUGGUAGAGGAUUACUAAAUUGCUAAAUAAUCUGAAAUGCAAAUGCCUUCUCACCCUUGAGUGUAAAUUCUCCAGAGAGGUCAGUUGCAGUUUUGUCUGUUUUGUUUUCAUGACACUGCAUUAACAUACACCCAUGCUUAUUUUCAGGUUUCUGCUCAUUCAGUGGGAAAAUUCUGGUAAUGAUUUUGGCAAUAUCACUCCUGUUGGGGGUGGUUUCCAAAAUCUAAAGGGCUGUAUUUCACUUUGAGCAAUCUUCCAUUAGUCAUAUUUAUUGGAUAAACUUGGCCAGGUCAGCAAUCACUAAAAGCACACGCAAACAAAUUUAGUUGGUGUUGCUUCUGUUUGAAGAAAACACAAAUAAGGUAGGCUGUAACUAUCUCUUUGAGAGUUACAGACUAACAACUUAAAAAAUCUAUAAUCCAGAGAAGAAAAGACUAGAUAUAAUUGCUCAGCAAAAAAGUUUACGUGUCUGAGCCUCCUAUAGAUAGAUCAUCUUAAUGAGUCCAAAGACUCUCAAGGAAAAAGAAAACACACACAUCUUUGUCUUUCCAUUUCAAAAAUGAUGGAAGUCUUUCAAGUAUGAAAAAUAAAGCAAAUUGAAACCAUCUCCUAUCUGUCUUUUAAUAAAACAAGAGUGAAAGAUACUGCAUAAUCUUUGUAAAUGUUUGUAAAUCCUUUAACUCUCAGAUUUCUUUUGUAAUUAAGAUUAGAAUCUAUUCAAUUCAUCUAACUUUCUCUCCUAAUUCUUUAUCAUUAAGAGAAUUCAUCAAGGCUACCACAUAAGAAUGGGAAAGAUUCCAAAUUUUAUAGCUGCCUUCUAUAUUGAAGCCAAAACAUUUUAUGAGUCUCUUGGUUCUAAUGUUCUUAACUCAGUUGAGUGUCUGAGCAUUUUAGAUGAGAGACAUUUUUAUCACUUUGACAAAAAUGGCAUCUUUAAUUUUAAUGGCUCCAUCAAAAAUUGAUCAAGCAUGUUGUUUUUUGUGAGUCCUUUUAGAAAUGAAUUCACUAACCAACAAUUUUAAAGAUUCAUCCAUUUUUAUUUAAAAACGUCCCUUCAGCUCACUACAUGAACUAUUUAUUCACAGAUGGCAUCUUUUAAAAAUAAAUCUGAAUUGUGUUUUGAAACCCAGAACCAAGGUUUCCAACAAUGAGCUCAGUUUUUGCAGUUAAUCAAUCAUUCAGUCACACCAUCUGAUGUGGUUUGAACAUUUGUCCUCUCCAAAUCUCAUGUCGAAAUGUGAUUCCCAGUGUUGGAGGUGGAGCUUUGUGGGAGGUGGUUGGUUUAGGGGGUCAGAUCCCUUGUGAAUGGCUUAGCACCAUUGCUUUGGUGAUGGAUAAGUUAUUGCCCAGUUUGUUCACACAAAAGUUGGUUAUUUAAAAGAGUGUAGCACCUCCCUUAUUUCUCUCUCUUGCUCCCAUUCUUGCCAUAUGACAUCCCUCCUCCCCACUUCACCUUCCAUCAUGACUAUAAGCUUCCAGAAGCCUGCAAUAGAAGCAGAUGCCAGCACCACACUACCCAUACUCCCUGUAGAACCAUGAGCCAAUUAAACCUCCUUUCUUUAUAAAUUAUAAAUUUCUUUAUAAAUUUACCAGUCUCAGGUAUUCCUUUAUAGUAACACAAACAGAGUAAUACAACAUUAUAGUAUUACCUAUCCUCAUUUUCAUAAACAAUCGUUUCCUAUUCUAUACAGGAAAGAAUACAUUAUUUUGAGUGACAAUGCUUUUGUAAUUUCAAACCUUUUAAAAAUAAUUCUUGCAUAUAUUUUGAUAUCUUAAUUCUUGUACACAUUUAUAUCUUAAGUAGUUCUAUGGAAGGCAUGAUUUUAAAAAAAUGAAGUUUUGUUUUUGCACCCCUCUUUUAAAAGAAAUAUGUCCAAGUUAAUGCAUUCUGUACCUAUAAUAUUCAUUUUUUUAAAAAAAUACUCAAAUAUUUAGCAAUGGUUUUGGAGUUUUAAAUAUUUUAAAGUAUACAUGAUUAUUAGGGGAAAAUUUAAGAAAGCAACACUUUGUUGCCAAUUAGGUGAAGAAUAAUUUAUUUAAAGAGAUAGUUUACUGGAAGAAUUAGUAUUAAAAAUUUUAAUUGUUGAAACCAAAUCGUAUAUAAACUGCAACCUAAAACAUUAGAAGUAAUGUUCUGUAUAUAAUCUGUACAUGUUUGCCAAAAUUCUGUUUCUGGUAUUUUAACAUAGCAAUUGUUUUUCUGUUCAUAAAUAAAGAUGAAAAUGUUUAUUGCAAAUUAUCAGUUAUUUAUUAUCUCAUUACAGAUGCAAAUAAAACCAUAGACAAAAAUAGACUGCUUUUAAAUGGCUGUCUUCUAAUUUUCACCUUGUAUUACAAAGAUGAUAUGAACUACUAAACUAUAUUAUUUAAAAAUAAAUAAAGGUCCUUAUCAUUUAUCACCCCUACAGUAAAUAUUGAACAAAACAACCAUGUCUCUAUUCCUUUCUAGUCUUUGAUAAUAUGCAAACUUACUUUUAUCAAUGUUGCUAAAUUUCGAACACUUUAGUGGCAAUGCACUUUGCUAGAUUUAGAAUAUAAUGGACUUGCAAGGAGAUGCAUAUUGUUUUAUAUUUCAGGGAGCCUAAAAUGUGAUUUACAAACCAUUCUUAUGAGUCCAGAAAGGAUUUCCACAGGAAAUGUAGUUUGAGUGUGAACUUGAUGUUUAGAAAUAGUUAUAAAAAAGGCAUAGAUAAUAUCAGUUUUGUACGUUAACACAUAUUAUAUAAUUUUCAUUUUUAAUGACUAUAUAGUGUUCAAGUCAUCUCUAUUUUACGUAAUGAUUUUUCUGUUUUAGAGCCUUGGUUCUUUUCAGUCCUUUAAUUUGCCAUUAUACAUAUGUCUAAUAGAAUAUAUAUGUAUAUAUCUGUAUGAUUUUAUUAAAAUAAAGCCACCAAAAUGGUAUGGUUUUGUUAACAAAAGAUGAGAGUUUAAAAAAAAAAUAGAGAAUUUGAAGUUGCCUUUCCUUUCUCCGAUCAUUGGUAAUGUCUUAAUUUAUGCCUGUAUAUGUUAAUUGAAUGAAAGGUUCUCAUCUGCUCAUUUGGUGGGUAGUACCCAAUGGAGUGGUCUAUACAAAAUGGGAUUUUAGCAUCUAGAUGUUCAUUUUUAAAAACAAAAGGAAAUUUUGUAGUUAUAUAUUUCAAGACUCUUAAUAUCUAAGAUGUUUAAUGAUGCAAUGAUAAUAAAUUUUUCUUAUGGACAAUGACAACAACAAUAAAAAAGUGUGAGAUAAUUGAGUCUAGGACCAAAGUCUCAUCACACACCAACUGUAGGUCUUCGUCACUCUAUUUUCCUUUUGUCCAUGGUUAAAAUUAUCUAAAUCAUUUGGGUUUUUAUUUAUAUUUUCAGAUCAUAUGAAUUUACGGGAUCUUUUUUUCACAUACAGUAUCUGAAAUGCUCUCUCUCUCUCUCUUUUUAAAUUUGUCACAAACUUAACCAGAUUUGAUAUUUUCAAAGGUAAGUCCCAUUCUUGGCUACCUUCUGUGUUCUUCAGUGUCUUGUGCUAACUCUUCACUGAUAUUAUCUUAUUUAAUUUUCAUGUAAAAUCUGUGAGAUAAAAUAAUUGGUGCUUAGGUAAAAUGACUUUCUAAUAAUCAUAAAGCUAAUAAAUGAUAGAAUCAAAUUUUAAAAUAUCCCUCUUUCUAGUAUAGUUAUUAUGCAGUCUUGCAUCAGAUAGAUCUGUAUGGAGUUCCAUUCUUGCUACUUCCACCAUUCUACCCUAAAAUUGUCACCUAUAGCCUGCACUAUGGAAAUCAUCCCCUAACUGAUUUCUCUGCUUCAACUUUAGCCAUCAUCAGCCAGAAAAAUAUUUGAAAAAAUAUAAAUUUGAUCAUGUAAUCCAUUGUUGAUGUUUUCCCUUCUUUAUCUCCUUCAGAUAUUUGAGCUAAAUUUACAUGAUAAGGAGUUAGCUAGGCAAAGAAGAGGAAUUAGGAUAUUCCAAAUUGGUGGUGCAGAUGCCUCACAUAUCCAAAAGGCAAGUUUGCUUGAAGAUUUGCAAGUAUAAUUAGAGAGUUGAAGUCAUUUUUUAAAGUAUAUGUUUUAGCAGGUGAUUCUGGAAUGAUGGCAUAGUGAGAAGCACCAGAAAUCUGUCUUCUCAUCCAGACAACAAAUUUACUUUCAGAAUAUGUCUGAUAUAACUGUACUGAAACUCUGAAGCCUAUUGAAGUCUUGAAACUUCUGAAAGAAGGAUUGGACAGUAAAUUGUAGUUAAUUUUGAUCUUCCACUUCAGCUACCCAUCCCCUGCACCCAGUUCCAGGGCAGCCAGCUGUGUACAUGUUCCUAGAGCAGCAUGCAUACAGCUUGGGGAAGCCAGAAUGUGCAAAAAUGACUCUCAAAUAUCAGGAUCUGUGUUCUGAUUAUUGAUUGCUGAUUUUGAUGAUUAUGACGAGGCAGUGGCCGUUAUUGUUUCACCAACCCCUAUUGUUGUAAGUCUUCUGCUUCUGGCUGAGGUGACUUCAAGGGGAUUUAAGAGGCUGGUGCCUUGUUCCCACUUUUAUUUUUGCCUUUGUCUCAUUUUGGGAGCCAGACAUUGAUAACUAAAAUAUUUUUUAAAAAUACAUAUAUUAGGUAAAUUAAGAAGUAACCACACUUGCCAAGGGGAAGUUACAGGCUUAAAUAAGACAUGAAAAUACCUUAAGUUUACAUUUCAGGCGAACUCUGCAACAGAGACAGCCUACAACAAUCAAAACGAAACAUAAACAAAAAAUGAAAACAAGAACAAACACUGUGGGAAAGGGAUAAUCUAAUAUUCUAGGGUUAUUAUAUAAUUAGAUUCAAAUGUAUAGUUUUCAGAAAAAUGUAUAAACAUACAAGGAAACAAGAAAAGAUGAGAUAGUUCAAGAAAAAAAAUUAACCAACAGAAUUUCUGAUGGCAGAUCUACUAGACAAAAAAAAAAUCUGUAUUAAAAAUACUCAAAGAAUUAAAGGAACACAUUGAAACGUCAACACAAUUAUAUGUGAACAAAGUAGAAAAAUCAAUAAAUUUACAGAAAACCUAAGGAGAAACAAAAAAUAUCUUAUAGCUAAAAAGUACCAGAAAAGAAAAGAAAAAAAUUCACUAGAGGGAUUUAUAGAAAGAUUUCAUCAGGCUGGAGCAAGAAUCAGCAAACUUGAAGAUAGAGCAUUAAAAAUUAUAGUCUUAGGAAAAGAAAGUUAAAAAAAAAAAACAGAUUGAACAAAAGGACCAUUGGUAUGUCAUCAAGGAGACCAACACAUUUUGUAGACCUAAAGAAGAGAGUUAGAAAGGAGCAGAGAGAAUGUUUGAAGAAAUAAUGGCUGAAGGCUUUCCAAAUUUGAUGAAAGACAUAAAUAUAAGCAGCUAAGAAUCUCAGAGAACUCCACGUGGGAUGAACUCAAAGACAGCCACACCUAAAUACAUUAUAUAAUCAAACUGUUUAAAGACAAAUAAAUUUGAAAGCAGCAUGGGAGAAGCCUGCUUAUCAUAUGCAAACGAUACUAAUAAGUAACUUUGGAGGCCACAAAGCUGUGGGUUGAUACAUUCAGUGCUAAAAGAAAAUUAAAAAAAAAAAUAUCAACCAAGACUCCUGUAUUUAACAAAACUUGUCUUCAAAAGUGACAGAGAAAGUAAAAGAAUCCCAGAUAAAGAAAAGCUGAAGUAGUUAUUACCAGUAGACCUGCCUUAAAAUAAAUGUUAAGGAGAGUUCUGCAGAUCAAAAUAAGAAGACAUCAAACAGUAGGUCUCAAUCAGUAAGAAGAAAUAAAGAUCUCAGUAAAGAAUCCCUGUAACCAUUCAUCCAGGUGUUGAGAAGAUAUGUAGCAGCCGAGCACCCAUCUUUUGACACCGUCCUCUGAAAUCAGCUUUGGAGAUGCUUUCACUCUGUCCGUCUUCUGCAGCAGCCAGGCAGAGUGCCGACUCCUUCACAGCCGUGAGGAACUCUUCAGGCUCCAGAAGCUCUUAAACCUGAUCUACAAUGGAAAAAAUUCUUUUUUAUCUGUUUCUCAUUGGCAUAGCAGUGAAAGCUCAGAUCUGUCCAAAGCGUUGUGUCUGUCAGAUUUUGUCUCCUAAUCUUGCAACCCUUUGUGCCAAGAAAGGGCUUUUAUUUGUUCCACCAAACAUUGACAGAAGAACUGUGGAACUGCGGUUGGCAGACAAUUUUGUUACAAAUAUUAAAAGGAAAGAUUUUGCCAAUAUGACCAGCUUGGUGGACCUGACUCUAUCCAGGAAUACAAUAAGUUUUAUUACACCUCAUGCUUUCGCUGACCUACGAAAUUUGAGGGCUUUGCAUUUGAAUAGCAACAGAUUGACUAAAAUUACAAAUGAUAUGUUCAGUGGUCUUUCCAAUCUUCAUCAUUUGAUACUGAACAACAAUCAGCUGACUUUAAUUUCCUCUACAGCGUUUGAUGAUGUCUUCGCCCUUGAGGAGCUGGAUCUGUCCUAUAAUAAUCUAGAAACCAUUCCUUGGGAUGCUGUUGAGAAGAUGGUUAGCUUGCAUACCCUUAGUUUGGAUCACAAUAUGAUUGAUAACAUUCCUAAGGGGACCUUCUCCCAUUUGCACAAGAUGACUCGGUUAGAUGUGACAUCAAAUAAAUUGCAGAAGCUACCACCUGACCCUCUCUUUCAGCGAGCUCAGGUACUAGCAACCUCAGGAAUCAUAAGCCCAUCUACUUUUGCAUUAAGUUUUGGUGGAAACCCCUUGCAUUGCAAUUGUGAAUUGUUGUGGUUGAGGCGUCUGUCCAGAGAAGAUGACUUAGAGACCUGUGCUUCUCCUCCACUUUUAACUGGCCGCUACUUUUGGUCAAUUCCUGAAGAAGAGUUUUUGUGUGAGCCUCCUCUCAUUACUCGUCAUACACAUGAGAUGAGAGUCCUGGAGGGACAAAGGGCAACACUGAGGUGCAAAGCCAGGGGAGACCCUGAGCCUGCAAUUCACUGGAUUUCUCCUGAAGGGAAGCUUAUUUCAAAUGCAACAAGAUCUCUGGUGUAUGAUAACGGAACACUUGACAUUCUUAUCACAACUGUAAAGGAUACAGGUGCUUUUACCUGCAUUGCUUCCAAUCCUGCUGGGGAAGCAACACAAAUAGUGGAUCUUCAUAUAAUUAAGCUCCCUCACUUACUAAAUAGUACAAACCAUAUCCAUGAGCCUGAUCCUGGUUCUUCAGAUAUCUCAACUUCUACCAAGUCAGGUUCUAAUACAAGCAGUAGUAAUGGUGAUACUAAAUUGAGUCAAGAUAAAAUUGUGGUGGCAGAAGCUACAUCAUCAACGGCACUACUUAAAUUUAAUUUUCAAAGAAAUAUCCCUGGAAUACGUAUGUUUCAAAUCCAGUACAAUGGUACUUAUGAUGACACCCUUGUUUACAGAAUGAUACCUCCUACGAGCAAAACUUUUCUGGUCAAUAAUCUGGCUGCUGGAACUAUGUAUGACUUGUGUGUCUUGGCCAUAUAUGAUGAUGGCAUCACUUCCCUCACUGCCACAAGAGUCGUGGGUUGCAUCCAGUUUACUACGGAACAGGAUUAUGUGCGUUGCCAUUUCAUGCAGUCUCAGUUUUUGGGAGGCACCAUGAUUAUUAUUAUUGGUGGAAUCAUUGUAGCAUCUGUGCUGGUAUUCAUCAUUAUUCUGAUGAUCCGGUAUAAGGUUUGCAACAAUAAUGGGCAACACAAGGUCACCAAGGUUAGCAAUGUUUAUUCCCAAACUAACGGGGCUCAAAUACAAGGCUGUAGUGUAACGCUGCCCCAGUCCGUGUCCAAACAAGCUGUGGGACACGAAGAGAAUGCCCAGUGUUGUAAAGCUACCAGUGACAAUGUGAUUCAAUCUUCAGAAACUUGUUCGAGUCAGGACUCCUCUACCACUACCUCUGCUUUGCCUCCUUCCUGGACUUCAAGCACUUCUGUGUCCCAAAAGCAGAAAAGAAAGACUGGCACAAAGCCAAGUACAGAACCACAGAAUGAAGCCGUCACAAAUGUUGAAUCCCAAAACACUAACAGGAACAACUCAACUGCCUUGCAGUUAGCUAGCCGUCCUCCCGAUUCUGUCACAGAGGGGCCCACGUCUAAAAGAGCACAUAUAAAGCCAAGUAAGUUUAUCACUUUGCCUGCUGAGAGAUCCGGAGCAAGGCACAAGUACUCCCUCAAUGGAGAAUUAAAGGAAUACUAUUGUUAUAUUAACUCGCCGAACACAUGUGGACUGUUUCCUAAAAGAAGCAUGUCUAUGAAUGUGAUGUUUAUUCAGUCUGACUGUUCUGAUGGUCAUAGUGGAAAGGCAACUCUCAAAUUCUGAGGGACUACUGGAAAGCUCUGUGUAAUUUAUAAUUUCUUUUUCAUGAAAAAUCAUUUUGAGAACUCACAUAGAAGAUUGGAAUUUGCAAUUCCAAUGCUGUGUAUAAAUCAACCUUCUCAGAUGCUUUGCUGACUAAUGUUGACCAGAUUGUCCAGGAAACACAGAGGCUGGAGUUAAUCUGAAGAGCACCACUUCUCCUCUCUCUCCUGAAAAAAUUUGCCACUGAUAUUUUUACUGGAUAAAAUUCAAAAAUGUUUCAAUUCACAAAGGCUAAUUGUUGAACUGGUGUCGUAGAAGAAAUUGUCUACAGGAGCCAAGGUGAAAGUCUCUGAUGACGGCGGAACUGGCUCCAUUAGACCAUGGUUCAUCCUCUUUUAAAACCAAAUUUUUUUUUCUUCUGGCCUACAAGUAUUUUUUUUUUAAAAAAGAAAAAAAGCCUACAUUGGCAUCAAGUUCUGUAUCAAUCCAUCUUACAUUGCCAUCCAUGAUUUAACAGACUGUAGAAUCUUGAAUAAUCUAUAUCACUUUAACAAAUAAAUGUUUUACUAUGACAGAA